Molecule: ribosomal RNA, 655 nt
Filed under: Dolerocypris sinensis
Lineage: Eukaryota; Metazoa; Arthropoda; Ostracoda; Podocopida; Cyprididae
Description: eukaryotic LSU rRNA
Rfam family: Eukaryotic large subunit ribosomal RNA
Source: RNAcentral
GUGUCUAACUUGUAUGCGAGUGAUCGGGUCUUCUCACGAAACCCGAACGCGCAAUGAAUGUGAAGGCCCUCGUACGAGGUGCUGACGGACGAUCCCCGGUGUACUCCCUCCCUGGUGUGGGACGGCCGGGGCGCAGUCCGGGGGCAUCGGGACCGCUGAAUGCCGGUCUGGUGCACCCAGAGCAUAUACGUUGGGACCCGAAAGAUGGUGAACUAUGCUUGGCAAGGGCGAAGCCAGGGGAAACUCUGGUGGAGGCCCGUUUGGAUUCUGACGUGCAAAUCGAUCCUCAAAGCUGAGUAUAGGGGCGAAAGACUAAUCGAACCAUCUAGUAGCUGGUUCCCCCCGAAGUUUCCCUCAGGAUAGCUGGUGCUCGUUGUGAGAUGAACAAGUUUCAUCCGGUAAAGCGAAUGAUUAGAGGCCUUGGGGGCGAAAUGACCUCAACCUAUUCUCAAACUUUAAAUGGGUGAGACGCCGAGCUUUCUCGAAUGAAGCUGCGGCAGUCGAAUUGCGAGAGCACCCAGUGGGCCACUUUUGGUAAGCAGAACUGGCGCUGUGGGAUGAACCAAACGUCGGGUUACGGCGCCCGAAUGAACGCAAAUCUGAUCCCAUGAAGGGUGUCGGUUGCUCCAGACAGCAAGACGGUGGCCAUGGAAGU